Molecule: unclassified non-coding RNA, 794 nt
Filed under: Hevea brasiliensis (rubber tree)
Lineage: Eukaryota; Viridiplantae; Streptophyta; Magnoliopsida; Malpighiales; Euphorbiaceae
Source: RNAcentral
AGAUCUAUAGCCUCCACCAAGCUGAAACAAUAGAUUAUAGAGAGCAAUUAGAUAUGAACAAGAAACAGGGAUAGGUUAAGUAAAGAUGGGAUAUUGCAUAAUUGAAUAACUCGGGAUUGAACUACAACUAUGAUUUGGUUAUAUUUUAUUUAUGAAUAUUCACAAAUUCUAUUAUAUUUAAAACCAAUUCUUAAAACCACAAUAACAAUUCUUUUGAUGCAAAGUACAGUUUUUUUUUUCCAUUUAAUUUCACUUAAGCAUCAUUACUUAAGCAAUUAAAAUUCUAACGGUAAAAUUAAAAUCCCAAAGCUGCAAGCUACAUGCAAUCUAAGAAUUACCAUUUGUUUGGAUCCUUAAUUUGUGCAGGGAAAUUGAAGAGGGGAAUUUUGGAGAGAAAUUAAACGAGAAAUGAAGAAAAAAGAAAAGACUCUGUUAGAAAAAUCCAAUUUAUCCAACAAGAAAAUUGAAAAUGGAGAGAAAUCCCCUUCAUCCAAACAAAGGGUUAGAAAAUGCAAUAGUUAAAAUUCACCUGACACUUCAAAGAAAAUAAAAUCCACGUAAAUCAAAGGCCUGCUUUAGGUUUUUUUUUUUUUCCUUGACUAAUUCACUUUUAAUAAAAGAAUUCUGAAUUCUCAAAUAAUCAUAGAAAUAUAUUUUUUUUUCCAUUCAAAAUAUGAAUCAGUUAAAGAAAUCAAUUUAAUUGAGUUCUAUUCCGGACAAGGGUUAUAGAAAUUGAAUUAAUUGAAGCCCAAAGAACGUAUAAUCUUCAAAUGAUAAUCAAAAUUAGUUUUCUU